GCCCUGAUGGUCUAGUGGUAUGAUUCACCCUUAGGGAGUCCUUGAGGAGUUUCAAUUGAGCACUGUGUUUCGUUGGGUGAGGUCCCCAGUUCAAUCCUGGGUUAGGGCC
Ceratobasidium sp. 392 is the source of this 109-nucleotide non-coding RNA. NCBI's taxonomy places the organism in Eukaryota, Fungi, Basidiomycota, Agaricomycetes, Cantharellales, Ceratobasidiaceae. The record is from the annotation of a GenBank genome assembly.